Sapajus apella (tufted capuchin) is the source of this 1186-nucleotide RNA transcript. RefSeq lists it as uncharacterized. NCBI's taxonomy places the organism in Eukaryota, Metazoa, Chordata, Mammalia, Primates, Cebidae. The record is from RefSeq and is a predicted model, not a curated record. The transcript has a single exon.
CCACACUGUGGAAAAUACCUUUGCAGACGUGACACCCAAGUGCGCACGCCGACCGCUGCGUGGGCUUUUCCGCUGGGAACGCCUGGGGUGAACGCGUGUUUUAUAGGCGUUUCCAGGAGCAUGGAUGCCCCUCCAGACAGGGAGCUGGCGGGCGGGGGUGGCAGCAGCCGCUCUAGCAUUAGGGAGACCAGCGGUCCUCAGCCAUGCUGCGAGAAAAGUAAAGGCACUCACCCCCACCUGCGCGCGCAUGCACACACACACACACGCACACGCGCAUACACACACACAGACGCGCGCACACACACACAUGCAAGGCAGGGUCGGUGGGAGAGAGGAGGACCUUUCUCCUUCUUCUGCAGCCUGGGUCUCCCACCGGCCUUCUGCCCUGAGCAAGUCACCAGGUGCCAGGUAAAGGGCCACGCCUGGCCUGGCCCCCACUGGAUAGUGACCCACCUGGCCUUCCAGGGAUGCUAAGCGCAGCCCGUCCUUCCCGGACCAGCUCAGGCUCCCCUGCCCUCCUCUCUCCAGGAAGGAGCCAGACCACGCAUCCCACUGUCCCCAGGGUAACCCCAGGUCAAGCACAGACGGCUCAGCUGUGACCUCCGGCCUCUGGGGCAUAAACGGGGCGGCUGGGUCAGGGUGGAAGGUGCUCCUCUUUCCCCCUUUCUCCGUGGUCCCUUCCACGGGCCGGCCACCAUGUCGGGGGGCACAAUGCGGGGCCUCUAGCCACGCAACUGUAUCCAAGUUAACAGCCCCUGUCCUACCCUAGCUCCGGGACAGGCAGGAGAGGGCCAUCACAGCCCCGCUCGUGGGUGAGUGACCCGGGAGGGGCUUCCAGGCCGAGGAGAGCCACCACGCCCUUUCUCCGGGGGCCACUUAAAACAUCCACGCACGACCUGAGGCUGGCCCUCCGCACAGAAGCCAUACGCCGGCCAACUGCGCCGCCUUCUCUGUCCGCGGACACCGCUGCCGAUCUGACCUUUGUAAAGACCUGUCUGUGUCCCCGCCGCCUGUGGUUCCAGCAGGCUCUAUGCUGUCUGCACUGGGAUGUCUGGCUGUUUUUAUUUCUGAACUUUUUUAAAAUUCCAGGCGUGCCACACCCACUUUCUCACAGUGUUUGAAUAUUGUGUGGAGCUGUUGACACAACGUGAAUUCAUACACAAUAAAAAGCCUCACUUGCCCUUUG